This 343-nucleotide unclassified non-coding RNA is filed under the name soil metagenome. RNAcentral's name for it is "partial contains 5.8S ribosomal RNA, internal transcribed spacer 2, and large subunit ribosomal RNA". The stretch from base 1 to 120 matches the Rfam family "5.8S ribosomal RNA", at positions 35 to 154 of the family's 154-position model. The record is from RNAcentral.
GAUGAAGAACGUAGCGAAACGCGAUAAGUAAUGUGAAUUGCAGAAUCCAGUGAAUCAUCGAAUCUUUGAACGCACAUUGCGCCCGCCAGCAUUCUGGCGGGCAUGCCUGUUCGAGCGUCAUUUCAACCCUCGACCUCCCCUUGGGGAGGUCGGCGUUGGGGACCGGCAGCACACCGCCGGCCCUGAAAUGGAGUGGCGGCCCGUCCGCGGCGACCUCUGCGCAGUAAUACAGCUCGCACCGGGACCCCGACGCGGUCACGCCGUAAAACACCCAACUUCUGAACGUUGACCUCGAAUCAGGUAGGACUACCCGCUGAACUUAAGCAUAUCAAUAAGCGGAGGA